AGGACGAACGCUGGCGGCGUGCUUAACACAUGCAAGUCGAGCGGAAAGGCCCUUCGGGGUACUCGAGCGGCGAACGGGUGAGUAACACGUGAGUAAUCUGCCCCUAGCUCUGGGAUAGCUCCGGGAAACCGGGAUUAAUACCGGAUACGACCACCUUAGACAUCUUUUGUGGUGGAAAGAAUUUCGGCUAGGGAUGAGCUCGCGGCCUAUCAGCUUGUUGGUGGGGUAACGGCCUACCAAGGCGACGACGGGUAGCCGGCCUGAGAGGGCGACCGGCCACACUGGGACUGAGACACGGCCCAGACUCCUACGGGAGGCAGCAGUGGGGAAUAUUGCGCAAUGGGCGAAAGCCUGACGCAGCGACGCCGCGUGGGGAUGAAGGCCUUCGGGUUGUAAACCCUUUCAGCAGGGACGAAGCGAAAGUGACGGUACCUGCGAGAAGAAGCGCCGGCUAACUACGCGCCAGCACGCCGC
This 474-nucleotide ribosomal RNA is filed under the name uncultured bacterium. RNAcentral describes it as "SSU rRNA". It matches the Rfam family "Bacterial small subunit ribosomal RNA", at positions 26 to 518 of the family's 1533-position model. The record is from RNAcentral.